GAUGAAGAACGUAGCGAAAUGCGAUAAGUAAUGUGAAUUGCAGAAUUCAGUGUAUCAUCGAAUCUUUGAACGCACAUUGCGCCCGGCAGUACUCUGCCGGGCAUGCCUGUUCGAGCGUCAUUUCAACCCUCAAGCCCUGCUUGGUGUUGGGGUCCCACGGCCGCCGUGGGCCCUGAAAGGAAGUGGCGGGCUCGCUACAACUCCGAGCGUAGUAAUUCAUUAUCUCGCUUAGGGCGUUGGGCGGCGCUCCUGCCGUUAAAGAACCAUCUUUAACUCAAGGUUGACCUCGGAUCAGGUAGGAAUACCCGCUGAACUUAAGCAUAUCAAUAAGCGGAGGA
This 338-nucleotide unclassified non-coding RNA is filed under the name soil metagenome. Its description in RNAcentral is "partial contains 5.8S ribosomal RNA, internal transcribed spacer 2, and large subunit ribosomal RNA". The stretch from base 1 to 120 matches the Rfam family "5.8S ribosomal RNA", at positions 35 to 154 of the family's 154-position model. The record is from RNAcentral.